CACAUGCUGCAACCGCUCCGAUCGGGUAUAAGUUCAUGGGUAUUCCCUGUGGCACCUGGAUCAGGCGAGUCUGAGACAUGAG
Regulatory RNA element from Paenibacillus bovis, 82 nucleotides. The record is from Rfam. NCBI's taxonomy places the organism in Bacteria, Bacillati, Bacillota, Bacilli, Caryophanales, Paenibacillaceae.